RNAcentral lists this ribosomal RNA (301 nucleotides) under uncultured bacterium. RNAcentral's name for it is "partial 16S ribosomal RNA". It matches the Rfam family "Bacterial small subunit ribosomal RNA", at positions 509 to 807 of the family's 1533-position model. The record is from RNAcentral.
CAGCCGCCACGGGAAAACAGAGGAUGCAAGCGUUUUCCGGAAUGAUUGGGCGUAAAGCGUCUGUAGGUGGCUUUUCAAGUCCGCCGUCAAAUCCCAGGGCUCAACCCUGGACAGGCGGUGGAAACUACCAAGCUGGAGUACGGUAGGGGCAGAGGGAAUUUCCGGUGGGGCGGUGAAAUGCGUUGAGAUCGGGAAGAACACCAACGGCGAAAGCACUCUGCUGGGCCGACACUGACACUGAGAGACGAAAGCUAGGGGAGCAAAUGGGAUUAGAUACCCGAGUAGUCCCUGUCUCUUAUAC